GAAACAGUCUCGGAUCAACAUGAGUUUUCUUGUUCUUGCUUGUUCGUUUGGGCUUGCUGCUGGCAGCUUUGAUUACGCUGGUAGGCCCACUCUGGAUGAUUUACAGCAGUUUUACAAACCGGAAAAAGAGAUUUUCGUCCUGCAAAGAUCCUUCUCUUUCGAUCAGCACAAGGGAGAAACAAAGUGCAUCUAUAAUGAACAAAUAUCCCUGGUAGGAAAUACUCUCACUGUUAAAGAAGCAUACUCCCGCGACCUGACAGUCUAUAAUUACAAAGUGGAAAUGCACCUCACAAAAGGAGAAGGAAGGGACCGAGCGCCUCUAAUGGAGGCGAAGCCACAAGAAGAUAAGAAAUAUUCACGGACAUUACAGAAUGUGCAAGUAGAGCACGGUACAGUUCAACAACGAACUGAGUCGAGGCAAUACGUUUUUCAAUACCAUGACUCGGAUAAGCACUGUGCCGUAGUCACAUUCAAUGACGGAGUCACAAGAUGCGAACUCCUUUUCUGGGAAGAAAGCAAAGGAAUUACGUCACGUUUCUUAAACUGCCAGAAAGAAUAUAAAAGCCUGUGCCCUCACGACAAAGUAUACACAGUUUACGACGAUGAGUGCAAAGUAUGGUUUCGUUAUCAACUCUUUCAGUUAUCAUGGUCAGACAAGUAAACUGGAUAGAGGGAGACCUCGGAGAUUUCGAGAUCGUUUGAAAUGAAAUAACGCUUUUGAGCAGCACAAAGUGGGCCGCUCCAUUGUUUUUUUCGACACCUGCUGAAGAACU
This is a long non-coding RNA of Dermacentor albipictus, 773 nucleotides long. RefSeq lists it as uncharacterized. The record is from RefSeq and is a predicted model, not a curated record. Lineage: Eukaryota; Metazoa; Arthropoda; Arachnida; Ixodida; Ixodidae.